RNAcentral lists this ribosomal RNA (503 nucleotides) under uncultured bacterium. RNAcentral describes it as "partial 16S ribosomal RNA". It matches the Rfam family "Bacterial small subunit ribosomal RNA", at positions 30 to 523 of the family's 1533-position model. The record is from RNAcentral.
AUUGAACGCUGGCGGCAGGCUUAACACAUGCAAGUCGAGCGGGGUGAUGGUGCUUGCACUAUCACUUAGCGGCGGACGGGUGAGUAAUGCUUAGGAAUCUGCCUAUUAGUGGGGGACAACAUCUCGAAAGGGAUGCUAAUACCGCAUACGUCCUACGGGAGAAAGCAGGGGAUCACUUGUGACCUUGCGCUAAUAGAUGAGCCUAAGUCGGAUUAGCUAGUUAGUGGGGUAAAGGCCUACCAAGGCCACGAUCUGUAGCGGGUCUGAGAGGAUGAUCCGCCACACUGGGACUGAGACACGGCCCAGACUCCUACGGGAGGCAGCAGUGGGGAAUAUUGGACAAUGGGGGGAACCCUGAUCCAGCCAUGCCGCGUGUGUGAAGAAGGCCUUAUGGUUGUAAAGCACUUUAAGCGAGGAGGAGGCUCUUUUGGUUAAUACCCAAGAUGAGUGGACGUUACUCGCAGAAUAAGCACCGGCUAACUCUGUGCCAGCCGCCGCAGUAA